This 697-nucleotide ribosomal RNA is filed under the name Ophiostoma carpenteri. RNAcentral's name for it is "eukaryotic LSU rRNA". It matches the Rfam family "Eukaryotic large subunit ribosomal RNA", at positions 148 to 873 of the family's 3401-position model. Lineage: Eukaryota; Fungi; Ascomycota; Sordariomycetes; Ophiostomatales; Ophiostomataceae. The record is from RNAcentral.
AUUUGGAGAGGAUGUUUCUGGCAAGGCGCCGUCCGAGUUCCUUGGAACAGGACGCCAUAGAGGGUGAGAGCCCCGUACCGGCGGAUGCCUAGCCUUUGUGAAACUCCUUCGACGAGUCGAGUAGUUUGGGAAUGCUGCUCAAAAUGGGAGGUAAAUUUCUUCUAAAGCUAAAUAUUGGCCAGAGACCGAUAGCGCACAAGUAGAGUGAUCGAAAGAUGAAAAGCACUUUGAAAAGAGGGUUAAAAAGUACGUGAAAUUGUUGAAAGGGAAGCGCCUAUGACCAGACUUGCGGCCUACGGACCAUCCGGCGUUCUCGCCGGUGCACUCCGUGGGUUGCAGGCCAGCAUCGGUUUUCCUAGGGGGAUAAAGGCCGCAGGAACGUAGCUCUUUCGGGAGUGUUAUAGCCUGUGGUGUCAUGCCUCUGGGGAGACCGAGGACCGCGCUUCGGCAAGGAUGCUGGCGUAAUGGUCAUCGGCGACCCGUCUUGAAACACGGACCAAGGAGUCAAGCAUUGGAGCGAGUGUCUGGGUGCCAAACCCGCACGCGAAAUGAAAGUAAACGUAGGUGAGAGCUUCGGCGCAUCACCGACCGAUCCUGAUGUCUUCGGAUGGAUUUGAGUAAGAGCCCCACCGCUUGGACCCGAAAGAUGGUGAACUAUGCCUGUAUAGGGUGAAGCCAGAGGAAACUCUGGUGGAGG